CGGGAGGCAUGGGCCAUGUCUCUUUUGUCUCUCUAUGUCCCUGUUGCCUAACACAGGGCCACACACACAUUAGAUCGUCAGUAAAUACUGCUAAGUGAACCAAUGAGAGAAUGAAUGGAUGAGCCGUCUGUAUCUGUCUCAAGCACAGCAGCCUCCAUGCUGCAUCCAAACACACACACACACACACAACAAAUAAAACAAGUUCAGAGUGCAAUUCCAACUCCUACCAUGUGCGAAUAGGAGUUGCCAUUCUAUUAUUGCAUUUUUUAAAAUAUGCCUGUUUGAGACAUAUUUUAAAAUGAUUUCACCACCCAAAAUAUGUGUUAUACUCCACAAUUUAAAACACUCUUUGGUUUUCUGGUACCUUUUCUGCAAAUGCUGGAGCAGAACUUCCCGGGUCGACAUCUCAGCUCUGCCAGUCAUUGCUGGUGUUACAUCAGACAAGUUUCUUUACCUCUCUGUGCUCAGUUUUCUCAGAUUUGAUGGGUGUAAUAUUGGUACCUACCUCAUAGGACUAAGUGACCUACUACACAUGAAGCAUUAGGCAUAGGAGACCAUUGGGAGGUCUAAAUAGAAGAUUGACAUGAUCCCACAAAGGUGAGCAAGGAAGACAACAUUCUUAUGGAAGAGAUAUCAUGUGGCGGUAUGGGGGUUAAGACAACGACGGAGCAGCCCUGGAUCAUGGAAGAGAAGCAGGCAUCUAGCCUGAGGAAUCAAACCUACCCCAGGGAGACAAAAAUAAAUUGUGAAAAUUCUGCUUACUUUUUUAUUUAACUAGUAGACUAAUUUUUAGAGUUUUAGGUUUAUAGAAAAUGUAAGGGAAAGUACAGAGUUCCCAACCCCCCUCACCCUCACCCCACCCAUAGUUUCCUUUAUUGUUAAUGUCUUGCUUUAGUGGGGUACACUGGUUACAACUGCUGAGCUAAUACUGACACACUCUUACUAAUUAAGGUCCAUAGGCUGCUGUAGUACUCAUUUUGUCUUGGACGUUCUAUAGGUUUUGACAAUCAUGUAUCCACCAUUACAAUACCAUAUGGUAUAGCUUCACUGUCCUAAAAGUCCUCUGUGCUCCUCCACUCAUUCCCACACUACCUCAACCCCUGAGCUUUUCACUAACUCAUAGUUGACGUUUUCUAGAAUGUCAUAUGUAGCUGGAAUCUUGCAGUAUGUCGCCUUUUCAGAUUGGCUUCUUCCACUUAGAAAUACCUACUUACUUUUUAUUGAUUGAUUGAUACUAGGGAUUGAAUCCAAAGGUGCUUAACAACUGAGCCACAUUUUAUUUUGAGACAGGGUCUCACUAAGUUGCUUAGGACCUCCUCGCUAAGAUGCUGAGGCUGGCCUUGAACAUGUGAUCCUCCUGCCUCAGCCUCCCAAGCCACUGGGAUUACAGGCUUUUACUACCAUCCCCAGCUCUACUUACCUUUUAAACCUUCUGUGAAUGCAGAAUCCAUUCAUAAUAAAGGAACAAAGAACUUCAAAAUGUAUUUUCAGCAUUAUUUAGGGCUUUGAGCAGCCAGUAGAAAUAACCCAGUCCCUUCACAAAAAAACUACUUAAUAAAUAUUUCUUGAACAGAUGAAUAAAUGAAUCCACAGCUUUAUGAGUACAAUAUUAGCAGAUGAUCAAUAUGUAUUUAUUGAACUGAACUAUAUUCCCACCAUCUUGAUUGCACUUAGGGAGUUCCCAGUUCUCCUUCUCCAUUCAUGUAAGAGAAACAGAUAGAUCUCAUGGGAAGUGUUUUAAAAAUACUAUUUCAAGUCAAGCUUAUCAAUAAUUUGUUGAUAUUUAUUAAUAUUCCUGCUUUAUAGAGGAAGAAACAGGUUCAGAGAUGUUAAGGAACCUGCCCAAGGUCACCCAGCAGGCAAAGUGAACAAACUCAAAUGGAAACCUUAUCUUCAGGUUCUUGGAAAACUCUGAUGAGUCCACCAGGAUUUGUUGUUUAGUCUUCCAUGGAGCUGAACGUGGUCCAGUACUGAACGCUGCCCAUGAUGACAUCAAACAGACAUCCUGUGUGACUAAAGUCAGGUCACCUGCUCACUGGUCUCCAAAUGCCUUGCCCAUUUCUAUUUUCUACUCUGAGGAAUUCCCCCAAAGGGUGGAGUUUUGUCGUUUUGUUUUUUGUCGCGACCCCUCGCCGGCAAGGGAAAACACGACAC
RNAcentral lists this long non-coding RNA (2154 nucleotides) under Marmota monax (woodchuck). The record is from RNAcentral. Lineage: Eukaryota; Metazoa; Chordata; Mammalia; Rodentia; Sciuridae.